Caenorhabditis elegans is the source of this 103-nucleotide non-coding RNA. The record is from Ensembl. Lineage: Eukaryota; Metazoa; Nematoda; Chromadorea; Rhabditida; Rhabditidae.
ACAACAGUAUGUAAAAUUAAUGGUAGGAUAAUCGAAUGUUUUGUGAGCUCUAAACCCUACGUUAAACUAAAUUCUCCUCCUAUCCAAUACAUUCGGUGCAUCA